CAGUCGCCACGGUAAUACAGAGGGUGCGAGCGUUAAUCGGAUUUACUGGGCGUAAAGCGUGCGUAGGCGGCUUCUUAAGUCGGAUGUGAAAUCCCUGAGCUUAACUUAGGAAUUGCAUUCGAUACUGGGAAGCUAGAGUAUGGGAGAGGAUGGUAGAAUUCCAGGUGUAGCGGUGAAAUGCGUAGAGAUCUGGAGGAAUACCGAUGGCGAAGGCAGCCAUCUGGCCUAAUACUGACGCUGAGGUACGAAAGCAUGGGGAGCAAACAGGAUUAGAUACCCGGGUAGUCCCUGUCUCUUAUAC
This 301-nucleotide ribosomal RNA is filed under the name uncultured bacterium. Its description in RNAcentral is "partial 16S ribosomal RNA". It matches the Rfam family "Bacterial small subunit ribosomal RNA", at positions 509 to 807 of the family's 1533-position model. The record is from RNAcentral.